GCCCGUACCCUAAACCGACUCAGGUGGUCAGGUAGAGUAUACCGAGGCGUUCGAGUGAAUCGUGGUUAAGGAACUCGGCAAAAUUCCUCCGUAACUUCGGGAUAAGGAGGACCCCGUGACUUGCUCCCGCCGUGCGUGGGUGUUGGGUUGUGGGGUCGCAGAGAAUAGGGAGAAGCGACUGUUUAUCAAAAACACAGGUGCGUGCGAAGCCGUAAGGCGAUGUAUACGCACUGACGCCUGCCCGGUGCUGGAAGGUUAAGAGGAACCGUUAACAUUCUUUAUGGGUGUGAAGCGGUGAAUUUAAGCCCCAGUAAACGGCGGUGGUAACUAUAACCAUCCUAAGGUAGCGAAAUUCCUUGUCGGGUAAGUUCCGACCUGCACGAAUGGCGUAACGACUUCUCCGCUGUCUCAACCGCGAACUCGGUGAAAUUGCAGUACGAGUAAAGAUGCUCGUUUCGCGCAGAAGGACGGAAAGACCCCGGGACCUUUACUAUAGCUUGGUAUUGGUGUUCGCUUGGACUUGUGUAGGAUAGGUGGGAGACUGUGAAGCUGCCGCGCCAGCGGUGGUGGAGUCGUCGUUGAAAUACCAUUCUGGUUUAAGCGGUCACCUUAACCUUGGCCCGUGAUCCGGGUUGGGGACAGUGCCUGGUGGGUAGUUUAACUGGGGCGGUUGCCUCCUAAAAUGUAACGGAGGCGCUCAAAGGUUCCCUCAGCCUGGUUGGUAAUCAGGUGGCGAGUGCAAGUGUACAAGGGAGCUUGACUGUGAGACCGACGGGUCGAGCAGGUGCGAAAGCAGGAACUAGUGAUCCGGCCAUGGCACGUGGGUGCGUGGUCGCUCAACGGAUAAAAGGUACCCCGGGGAUAACAGGCUGAUCUUGCCCAAGAGUCCAUAUCGACGGCAUGGUUUGGCACCUCGAUGUCGGCUCGUCGCAUCCUGGGGCUGGAGUCGGUCCCAAGGGUUGGGCUGUUCGCCCAUUAAAGCGGUACGCGAGCUGGGUUCAGAACGUCGUGAGACAGUUCGGUCCCUAUCCUCUGUGCGCGCAGGAAAUUUGAGGAGGGCCGUCCCUAGUACGAGAGGACCGGGAUGGACGAACCUCUGGUGUGCCAGUUGUACCGCCAGGUGCAUGGCUGGUUAGCUACGUUCGGAAGGGAUAACCGCUGAAAGCAUCUAAGCGGGAAGCCUGCUCCAAGAUGAGGUUUCCACGCCCCCCCGUGGGUGAGAGGCCCCCGCCAGACGAGCGGGUUGAUAGGCCAGAGGUGGAAGCACCGCGAGGUGCUCGCGAGCCGACUGGUACUAAUGGGCCAACACUAAACAAC
This 1317-nucleotide ribosomal RNA is filed under the name human oral metagenome. RNAcentral's name for it is "bacterial LSU rRNA". It matches the Rfam family "Bacterial large subunit ribosomal RNA", at positions 1640 to 2925 of the family's 2925-position model. The record is from RNAcentral.